This 712-nucleotide ribosomal RNA is filed under the name uncultured bacterium. RNAcentral's name for it is "bacterial SSU rRNA". It matches the Rfam family "Bacterial small subunit ribosomal RNA", at positions 105 to 801 of the family's 1533-position model. The record is from RNAcentral.
GGUGAGUAACACGUGGGCAANCUGCCCUGCAGACUGGGAUAACUUCGGGAAACCGGANCUAAUACCGGAUAACACCGAAAACCGCAUGGUUUUCGGUUGAAAGGCGGCUUUUAGCUGUCACUGCAGGAUGGGCCCGCGGCGCAUUAGCUAGUUGGUGAGGUAACGGCUCACCAAGGCAACGAUGCGUAGCCGACCUGAGAGGGUGAUCGGCCACACUGGGACUGAGACACGGCCCAGACUCCUACGGGAGGCAGCAGUAGGGAAUCUUCCGCAAUGGACGAAAGUCUGACGGAGCAACGCCGCGUGAGCGAAGAAGGUCUUCGGAUCGUAAAGCUCUGUUGUCAGGGAAGAACAAGUACCGUUCGAACAGGACGGUACCUUGACGGUACCUGACGAGGAAGCCACGGCUAACUACGUGCCAGCAGCCGCGGUAAUACGUAGGUGGCAAGCGUUGUCCGGAAUUAUUGGGCGUAAAGCGCGCGCAGGCGGUUCCUUAAGUCUGAUGUGAAAUCUCGCGGCUCAACCGCGAGCGGCCAUUGGAAACUGGGGAACUUGAGUGCAGGAGAGGGGAGCGGAAUUCCACGUGUAGCGGUGAAAUGCGUAGAGAUGUGGAGGAACACCAGUGGCGAANGCGGCUCUCUGGCCUGUAACUGACGCUGANGCGCGAAAGCGUGGGGAGCGAACAGGAUUAGAUACCCUGGUAGUCCACGCC